RNA transcript from Drosophila ficusphila, 1702 nucleotides. It is a transcript of the gene named dehydrogenase/reductase SDR family member on chromosome X, with no coding region annotated. Lineage: Eukaryota; Metazoa; Arthropoda; Insecta; Diptera; Drosophilidae. The record is from RefSeq and is a predicted model, not a curated record. The transcript has 6 exons.
CGCGCAAUUAAAACUAACGUUUAGUUCGCUUUUGAAUUUCUCGCCGAUCGGUUGUGGCAACAAGGGCCCGCUGGAUAAACCGGUUUCGAACUCUUCCGACUGUUUUUUCGAAAACGUGACAGAAGCCCAAGUACGAAGAAGCUCCGCAAAGCCUUUAAUUGAAAAAGGGUGUCAAUAUUAACAUAGAAAAAGUGGCACAAGUGCAUUUCCCACUGUGGCGACUUAAUUAAAGAGUUCCGAACAGACUGUAUAAACCGUAAUCAUGCUGGGCACCUUGUUGUGGAUAUUUUUCGUGGGACUGUUGCUGUGCGCGUUCCUCUUCUCGAAGACCACCAAGGAGUUCCCCAAGUCCUGGUUCGAAUGGAAGACGGAGUUUCGGUACCAGUACAUCGGCAUCGUGGGGUUGGUUCACGAUGCUCAAUAUGCGGCGCGGGAUCGUGUGGCACUUUAUAAGCAACCGGACCGCAUUGCUGUCAUCACCGGAGGCAACCGCGGCAUCGGACUGAGGAUCGUGGAGAAGCUGCUGGCCUGCGACAUGACUGUCGUCAUGGGUGUUCGUGAUCCCCGAAGCGCCGAAGCCGCCGUUGCAUCUAUUGUGGAUUUAAAAGCGAGUAAGGGCAAGCUCAUCUGUGAGCAACUGGACGUUGGAGACAUAAAGUCGGUGAAGGCCUUUGCCCAGCUGAUCAAGGAGCGCUACUCAAAGGUGGACUUGCUGCUGAACAAUGCCGGAAUUAUGUUUGCGCCCUUCAAGCUCACCGCCGAUGGCUACGAGUCGCACUUUGCCAUCAACUUCCUGGGCCACUUUCUGCUCAGCCACUUGCUUUUGCCUCAAUUGAAGGCAGCUGGCAAGGAGGGAAAGAAUGCCAGGAUCGUUAACGUAAGUUCUUGUGUGAAUCUCAUUGGACGCAUUAACUACAAGGAUAUCAACGGAACGAAAUACUACUACCCAGGAACUGCCUACAGCCAGUCGAAGCUGGCCCAGAUCUUGUUCACUCGCCAUCUGCAAACCCUGCUCGAUGCGGAAAACGCACACGUACAAGUGAAUGUGGUGCAUCCGGGCAUUGUGGACACGGACCUGUUCGAGCACUCGGCCACCACAUCGGUGCCCAUCUUCAAGAAGCUCUUCUUCAAGACGCCAGAACGGGGAUCCCGCACAGUGGUCUUCGCGGCCAUCGAUCCAUCCAUCGAGGGUCAGGGCGGCACUUACCUGAGCAACGGCGGCAAGGGCCCCUUCCAUCCGGACGCCAAGAAGCCGGCCAAGUGCGAGCAGCUCUUCCAGUUCUCCUGCGACCUGCUGAAGAUCAAGCAGUACGGAAACGGCGAGCUCUAAAACCCACAUACUCCCUCAGUCUUUUACAAUACUCCUCUACUGGUGCAACGUACUUUUCUAGAUUCCAUCUGCAGCUGGUGUUCUGCACUAUCCGGAUCCUAGGAACUACUGAUGCUAAUCUGGCCGGAGUGCUGUGCCAGGUUUUAAUUAACUUGUCUUCGGUUGAUUGCCAUCAGGGGGACAGCGAAUGCAAUUAAAAGAGCAGCACACUGUGGCAACAAACAUUUUCGAACUGCACUCAACUUUUGGCGGCGGCAGCUUGAAAGGCGACAACAACAGCAACACAGCCACAUCUGCUAUAUGUCAAAUUUACGAAAAAGCAAACAAUUUAAUUUUGUGCGCCUCCUCAAACAAUGAGCGAUUAACAUUCAA